This is a non-coding RNA of Aedes aegypti (yellow fever mosquito), 119 nucleotides long. The record is from Rfam. NCBI's taxonomy places the organism in Eukaryota, Metazoa, Arthropoda, Insecta, Diptera, Culicidae.
UGUCCAGCAACUCCUAUCCUUACCUCCUCGCAGUACUAGCCGGGGUACGAGUAACCGUAGGGAAGAUCGGGUAACCAACCCCCAGUGGGAACUUUGGUCGUAUGCUGACAGGGAAAAGG